UUCUAAAAAAUACUAGUGAUAAGGGGUGGGCAGUUCUGGUGUCAGCCGCCGCGGUAAAAACAGCACCUCAAGUGGUCAGGAGGAUAUUGGGCCUAAAGCAUCCGUAGCCGGCUCUUCAAGUUUUCGGUUAAAUCUAUACGCUUAACGUAUAGGCUGCCAAAAAUACUGUAGAGCUAGGGAGUGGGAGAGGUAGACGGUACUCGGUAGGAAGGGGUAAAAUCUUUUGAUCUAUUGAUGACCACCUGUGGCGAAGGCGGUCUACCAGAACAUGUUCGACGGUGAGGGAUGAAAGCUGGGGGAGCAAACCGGAUUAGAUACCCGGGUAGUCCCAGCUGUAAACGAUGCAGACUCGAUGAUGUAUUAGCAUAUAGCUGAUACAGUGUCGCAGGGAAGCCGUUAAGUCUGCCGCCUGGGAAGUACGUACGCAAGUAUGAAACUUAAAGGAAUUGGCGGGGGAGCACCACAAGGGGUGAAGCCUGCGGUUCAAUUGGAGUCAACGCCAGAAAUCUUACCCGAAGAGACAGCAGAAUGAAGGUCAGGUUGAAGACCUUACCAGACAAGCUGAGAGGUGGUGCAUGGCCGUCGUCAGCUCGUGCCGUGAGAUGUCCUGUUAAGUCAGGUAACGAGCGAGAUCCUUGCUACUAGUUGCUAUCAUUGUUUUCCGAAAUAAUGGGGCGAAUUAGUAGGACUGCCGUUCUUAAAACGGAGGAAGGAGAGGGCUACGGCAGGUCAGUAUGCCCCGAAACUUUGGGGCCACACGCGGGCUGCAAUGGUAGUGACAAUGGGUUCCGAACUUGAAAGAGAGAGGUAAUCCCAAAACGCUACCACAGUUAUGACUGAGGGCUGUAACUCGCCCUCACGAAUAUGGAAUCCCUAGUAACUGCGUGUCAUUACCGCGCGGUGAAUACGUCCCUGCUCCUUGCACACACCGCCCGUCGUUUCAUCGAAGUUUGCUUUUAGCGAGGUGAUGUUUAAUGGCAUCAUCGAACU
RNAcentral lists this ribosomal RNA (990 nucleotides) under uncultured marine group I thaumarchaeote. RNAcentral describes it as "bacterial SSU rRNA". It matches the Rfam family "Archaeal small subunit ribosomal RNA", at positions 417 to 1409 of the family's 1478-position model. The record is from RNAcentral. Lineage: Archaea; Thermoproteati; Nitrososphaerota.